RNAcentral lists this transfer RNA (82 nucleotides) under Candidatus Campbelliibacteriota bacterium. Its description in RNAcentral is "Candidatus Campbellbacteria bacterium tRNA-Leu". It matches the Rfam family "tRNA". From Rfam's summary of the family: Transfer RNA (tRNA) molecules are approximately 80 nucleotides in length. Their secondary structure includes four short double-helical elements and three loops (D, anti-codon, and T loops). Further hydrogen bonds mediate the characteristic L-shaped molecular structure. tRNAs have two regions of fundamental functional importance: the anti-codon, which is responsible for specific mRNA codon recognition, and the 3' end, to which the tRNAs corresponding amino acid is attached (by aminoacyl-tRNA synthetases). tRNAs cope with the degeneracy of the genetic code in two manners: having more than one tRNA (with a specific anti-codon) for a particular amino acid; and 'wobble' base-pairing, i.e. permitting non-standard base-pairing at the 3rd anti-codon position. The record is from RNAcentral. Lineage: Bacteria; Candidatus Campbelliibacteriota.
GCCCAGGUGGUGAAAUUGGUAUACACGCAAGACUUAAAAUCUUGUCACUUCGGUGGUAUGGGUUCGACUCCCAUCCUGGGCA